UUACGAAUCCCACCUCUUUUCUUUUCUUCCAAGGGUUGAGAGAUGUCUACUCUAGUGCUUUUAAAGAAUGAACUCUCCAUUGGCUGUGGAUUGUAGGGAGACAGAGUGGUUGGGCACUGUGGCUCCAGUUCUCCACUUGAAGAUCAGAAGGUCACCUAACACACAGCCCUAUGAACUACCGCUGUCAACGACUGUGUUGUGACCUAGGCCCAUCAAGCGGUGGCAUGGUGAUUGUCCAUCCUGCUUGACUUGAGCCUACUAAUUGCCAUGUCCCUGGAUGCCCUGUGACAGCCCCUCUUGCAUUCUGGCUCUGGAUAGACUGUCAAGGGAACUCUAAUGAUAAUUAGGCCCUUCACAUGUCCUCAGCAUUCUCUGAUGGGUUUGUGUGUCAUCUCUUUCGCUCUCCUCUGGGGUGCUGAUUCUCAGAUUGAGAGCCAUGAAUCUCACUUUUUCCUCUUUGUUCCAUCUUGUCCCCUCGUCUGUAUGCCUGAGAAAUUGACCUACUCCUUGUGAGAUGCCCUCCCAUGUGCAGUUUCUGGCUGGGCCCCACCCCGUAUUCUCCACUCUAGUGAGUCUACUGAAAUUCAGGAGGAAGAUAAGGGGAGGAAGCUGCCUGGGGACAAUUCUGGAGCUAUACUGAGAUCCGGAGUUGAACGUACAAAGCGUGUGAUGGCAGAGUGCAAAUAUGUGCUAGCAAGAACCCACCGUGCUACUUUCCUGAAUUCCGCAAAGAAGUUAUUCUGUCUGUAUAAUUUUAUUAGGCUGAGACUUUUUCCAAUGGUUUGUUUUUCCGUUUGCUCACAGAACAUAGAAAAGAGCCAGGGAGGGAAGCCAACACAUUUGCACUAUUUACCUACUCCCUGACUUUGGAGCUCAGCAAAUCUGCUGCGCAUCACUUUGUUUCGCUGACUUUUAUAAAUCAAGACAAUAAACUGUAAGCAUAUCAGCUCACUUUGAGGGACCUGAUAUCUGAUUGUUGCUUUGAUAAGUAUCUGUGCAAAUAUUUAUAUGAUUCUGAUAGUCUUGAGCUGCAUUGUUACAACAUGCAAAGCUGUCAGCUUUCCAGGACUUCUUGUGGUAUAGCUUCUCUGGGGUGAGGAUUAUUUUCAAUCUGGCCUUUCCUCCCUGCAACCCUGUUAGUCUGAGAUUUCACGUAAUGCAGCGCCAGUUGUGUAGAAAGAAACACAACAUUACCUCAUUUCAUCAUUCAAAUAGUAAAAUAACUAGAGGAGGCCGCUCUGGAAUGCAGGGAGACUGGUAUAAUUUCUCACGAUUGUGUCUUCCUGCUCCCCCUGCUUAAACUUUCGUGUGAUAAAAAUUAAUUAUUGAGUUAAAAUUUCAUGAUGAACACAUUGUUCACUGUAUUUAAGGAAGCAGUGUAGUAUUCUGAAAGGCCUUUAUCUCUUGCCACCCAGGUGAGCACCUGAAAGAGAACUUUUAAGCCAUUUAGAAAUGACUAAUCACAUUACAAAAGUACCCAUUUCCCUGGAGGAUCCAUGGCUUCCCGGGACACUUACCACAUCUAUUUACAGAUCAUUAUGGAUUAGAGCCACUAGACUGUGAGCUCCUUGAGGGCAAGGAACGAGGCUAAUUUAAUUUUGUUCUCCCUACCAUUAACGGCACACAUUUGGAAUGAAUGAAUGAAAUUGGCUGCCCUUGAAUAUCAAGUGGAAUGAAGGUAGCAUUUCCAGAAGGAUGAUGCAAAUAAUGAGUGCAAAACUUGAUAUUUACUGACACCUUUCCAGGAAUAGGUCUUGUUUUGGGAGCUGUGCUGCAAUGAUCUUGUUCAGGAGGGGCUUAUGUCAUAGUUGGAAACUUCUGUUGCAUAUUUAGUCAACUGAGAUUGGGCCAAGCAGUGGAGGUCUCCCCGAUGUUUCAGAUGAAUUCGUGGUGCUCUGGAAGUGCUUGUGAGCCCACACGGCUAGGUUACCAAGUUCCAGCAGCUCCUGAGCUUCUGCUUAGGGCUGAGUGCUUCUCAAGCACUAUUUUAAUCAGUGCUGGGUAGUUUCUGUAAAUAUCUUCACUGUAGACAUCUUUGCCACAAGCGUUUUCACCAUACCAUGUGACCAUAUCUAAUUGGUCAUAAGGCAGUUUUGUCGUAAAAAAGAAAAUAACUGGUUGACAGUUGGUUUCAUUUCUUCAUUGAUGAAGUCAUCCCAUUUUUAUAUUAUCUUAGCCCUCAUAGUGGUCUGUAGGGCGGCACAGAGUUCUGAACCCACAUUUCCCAUAGAGCUUUGGAACGUCUCUCAGAGAGCGUAUGACAACAUCCUAAGAACAGACAACCCCAUGGAAGGCUUUCACAGCGCAGUACAAAGCCCAGUGACAAAUAUGCAUCUUAGUAUUUGGAAACUGAUUCCUCUCUUAAGGAAGGAAGAAAUUUUAGAGAGAGAAGAAAAGUGUGACGCCGAAUGAAAAGAUGAAUCAGCAAGCAAAAAUGUAUAUACUACAAAUGGAAGACUUUAAAGACAAGUGCGUAGGUACAGUCCCCCAAAUAAAAUAUACACUAUACAUUUUUAAUGUAUUCAAAUAUUUUGUAUUUCACAAUAAAGUCUUUUUAAUUUUGUUA
Molecule: non-coding RNA, 2566 nt
Organism: Manis javanica (Malayan pangolin)
Lineage: Eukaryota; Metazoa; Chordata; Mammalia; Pholidota; Manidae
Source: RefSeq, a predicted model, not a curated record